GAUGAACGCUAGCGGCAGGCUUAAUACAUGCAAGUCGAGGGACAGCACAGGUAGCAAUACUGGGUGGUAACCGGCAAACGGGUGCGGAACACGUACACAACCUUCCUUUAAGUGGGGGAUAGCCCAGAGAAAUUUGGAUUAAUACCCCGUAAUAUAGUUGAAUGGCAUCAUUUGAUUAUUAUAGCUACGGCGCUUAAUGAUGGGUGUGCGGCUGAUUAGAUAGUUGGCGGGGUAACGGCCCACCAAGUCUACGAUCAGUAGCUGAUGUGAGAGCAUGAUCAGCCAAACGGGCACUGAGACACGGGCCCGACUCCUACGGGAGGCAGCAGUAAGGAAUAUUGGUCAAUGGACGCAAGUCUGAACCAGCCAUGCCGCGUGAAGGAUUAAGGUCCUCUGGAUUGUAAACUUCUUUUAUUUGGGACGAAAAAGGGCCUUUCUAGGUCAACUGACGGUACCAGAUGAAUAAGCACCGGCUAACUCCGUGCCAGCCGCCGCUGUAA
Molecule: ribosomal RNA, 500 nt
Filed under: uncultured bacterium
Lineage: Bacteria
Description: partial 16S ribosomal RNA
Rfam family: Bacterial small subunit ribosomal RNA
Source: RNAcentral